UGGGCUGUAGCUCAGUGGCAGAGCACUUACCUUGCAUGUGUGAGGCACUGGGUUCGAUCCUCAGCACCACAU
This 72-nucleotide transfer RNA is filed under the name Marmota marmota marmota (Alpine marmot). It matches the Rfam family "tRNA". From Rfam's summary of the family: Transfer RNA (tRNA) molecules are approximately 80 nucleotides in length. Their secondary structure includes four short double-helical elements and three loops (D, anti-codon, and T loops). RNAcentral also lists the same sequence under 1 other name. Lineage: Eukaryota; Metazoa; Chordata; Mammalia; Rodentia; Sciuridae. The record is from Rfam by way of RNAcentral.